Stylophora pistillata is the source of this 3876-nucleotide long non-coding RNA. NCBI's taxonomy places the organism in Eukaryota, Metazoa, Cnidaria, Anthozoa, Scleractinia, Pocilloporidae. The record is from RefSeq and is a predicted model, not a curated record.
GUUUAAUAAUUGCUUUAUUGCUACUUAGUGUAAAGUGAGACUCUCAGACCUGAUAGUAUUUUCGGGAAAUUUCAUUUAGAGAAUCCUCAUCUUCAUUGCUUUUCUAGGGAAGUUCCAAAGGGUUUCGUUAACACUGCUUAAAGACGCCCGUAGCCUUAUGAUUCAGACUCCAAGAUGAAAAGACGAAAACUGAACAAAAUUCCAUUAACAAGAGAGAGUAAAUGACGCCAAUAUGCUGGCUCGCUGGUUUUCUUCGAAUUCGUAAAUAUCUAGAUCAUAUAUUCUGGGACAUUUGGAAGGAAACGGAAGCAAAUUGAAAUCAGUGCAAUUAUUAAUUCCGGGUCUUAAUUUCAUAACAACUUGUGAUAUAUCUCGAACAUGGAUGGAUGAAAAAACACUGAUUCAAUUGUAGCAGGGUUGAAAGAGAUGUUUGCCAAAACACAUGCACGAGACCAACCCACGCAAUGCAUUUCUUUGUCGGCCAUGUUCCAUGGAAACUACUUGUUAUUGAAGUUUGCAAACAUUUUAUGCAGUUGGAGACCAUCAUAUUCAACUUUCACGAAUGGAUUACUUACAGUUUUUAAAUUUUAGAGAUCAUCUACCGGACGCGAAAUUUUUUAAGCUUUCGUAACAGAAUUUUUGAUGACCAAGCAACGUUUGUCGAAAGAUGCUAAAACAUCAGCAGUCAACUUAAAAGUGGAAAAGCUGCAACUCGUCGAUAAACGAUGCAGUGAGUACGGAAAACAAGUUCAAAAUGCUAAAAACUCUUACUUAAAAAAUAAAAUCUUUAUUUCUUUGAUCGAAGAAAAAAAACAUCAGGAUUGAUCUUUUUAUACUUUAGAAAUAUUUGUCAGAAAACCCUUUCGAGGCAUAGAGCAUUUGACUCAAUACAAACGUCAGUUACGAUUUCUUUUAUUUGCCUCCCGACCAGAAAUUUUAUUUGAUCAAAUUUUAUUUUGGUUCGUGGAUCAAACACAGAUAAGAAACGCAAAGUCGUACAUCAGUUUGCGACAAAAUCCUACAGAAAUAAGGUUUUUAAGAGUAAAAACCACAUCUGUUGAAUGACUUUAUACUCCGGCCGUAGGUGUCUGCGCUGUGCUUGCGCUCAAUGCCGAAGGUUGCGCCAACACUCAACAACGUGGUGCCCUAUAAUUCCAGAAUCUGCUGCUUUGAAAAAUUUUAUAUUAAGUGUUCACGUUCUCUAAGAUCCAUUUAAAUCAACAGUUGAGCCAGUUCUGAUAGUUGAAAACAAGCACAAAUAACUAAAAUUGAAUAUAAAAGCUUCAAUUUUAUCUCCGAUUUUUGUACGUAUUCACACACACACUAUCGUACAAUUGGAAACUCACCUGUUGGUCUCUAAAAGUUUUUCAGUCGCGAAGACCGUUUAAUCCUCUGUGCGGCCGCGUUCUAAAUAAUAAAAUAAGGAAAAAAAUAAUCGAAUUGUUCCAAUUGUAAGUAUUGAAAACAAUAUCUAAAUUUGAUGUCGACCUUUUCAGCUUAUUUCAUGAACUAUACUCACCCAAAACUUCAUCAACGGUCGGUUGCGAUCAACUGUUCUUUUGCGUUCUUUAAAGACACGAUUCCCAGAUUUUCAUAGUUUUUAUAGAAGCCGAUUAAUCCUGACCAUUUGGUAUUAGAUACUUCGAUAUUCAAUCGAAGAGAGUUAUUCUCCUCGCCGAUAGCGUGGCAGCGUUAUAUGCGUCUGGCCCUCAUUCAUCAACUUAUGAUUGACAUUUUAGAGGUACUCUACUGUGAGUCGUUUAUUAGGGGUGGGGUAGGGGUCAAAGGUAAAGACGUAAUGAUCCGGGUGGAUGAAGACUUGUAACUAUACUAGUAAAAAGACUGUUGAAGAAUAUCUUAACUGAGCUUCUGCAGAAUUCCGUGGUUUCUAUUUACUUUUGUAACAAACACAAGAGAGAAGAACACCUUGGUAUACAAUUCACCAAAGGGGAAUGGUUUCAUCCUUUACAUAUGAAAGAUGUUGCAAAUAAUUUUACAACACGUAGUUAAGUGGAGGUGAAGUAUGAUUUAAAUCAUGGGUAUUGGGGCUCAAAGGGAUUAGCCAUUUGUAGCCAUAAAAUAGCAAAAAAAUUUAGCGGUUAGGCAUAAAAGUUGACAAGUUUGAGCCAUAAGUCGUAGAAAAAGUUGAGCGUAAAAUUGUUUUGCUAACUUUAUCAGAAACAAAAUGAAUGGAUAGCUCUGGCCAAAAUUUUAACCAUCAGCUGUAAAACCCAUCAGCCCAUUGAGACCCUCUUGGUAGAAAAUCCCUCUUUUUAUCAUAGCUUUCGUAUUGUUUAGCUAGAUAUAAAGUUCAUCAUCUGUCUUAAAUCAGUUUGUUUGACAUGGGUACCUACUACUUCUGAUUCAACUCAACAGUUAAUGAUUAGUAGCAUACUGGAGUGGGAGUCCAGACAUCCAGGUUUAGGCAUUGGGUGUUCCUUGGCAGGAUACUUAAUUGUCAAAGUGGGUCUCUCUGCUCAGAAGUAAAGAUGGGUAUUGGAAAACUUUCUAGGAAACCUGAUGAAAUACUAGAUUGUCAUCUAUAAUGGAACAGCGUUUAAUCUAUCCACCCUGGGGGAGAAGCAAUGCUCUUAAUCUCAUGGAAACAGGGGAAUACUGGGGCAGUGUGGGCCACUUUUAUUGAGUUCUGACUUAACCUACCUACUACAAUAAUUGCAUUGUUACAGUAACUGUUACUGUACCUGAAAAUAAAAUGGCAAAUGGGAGAGAGGCUUUUUGAUUAUUUUAUUCAACAGGAAGUAUUGAUGCCUGAACUAUAUGACUUGAUCAAUACAUAUAAACCUGAGUAUCUGUAUGUGAAUGGACCACAUGGACCUGACACAUACUGGGGUAGCUGCAACUUUUUUGCAUGUCUUUAUGAUGAAAGGUACAAAUCAAAAGUAAAAUUUUAUUCCUGCAUGUGGCGAUUUUUAAUUGCAAUUAUUUUGGACGUUUGCAAACUGACAUAUAAGCAUUGGUGAAGUGACAUUAGAUGUAGGUGAAUCAACCUCGUGCAUUAGGGAAUAGAUGUUGGUGAACUGACACAUUGGCAAAACAAACGGUUAACAUAUAGAUCUUAGCUGAGCAGUAAGGGCAGGUGAAGUUAGUGAAAUUUGACUUUGACACCAGGAAGGAAAUUAACUUUGCUUGAUAGCAACAAAAUGUGUGACAGCAUUACUUUGGUAGAGAGAACUUAGUUUAACUACUUGUCUUUAUGUCCUGUGACAUGCUUUCUUUUUAUCCACAGUCCUGUAAAAGGUAUAGUUUUGACAAAUGACAGGUGGUGUGACAAUGGCUGCAAAUGUCACCAUGGAGGAACAUUUACCUGCAUUGACCAAUAAAACCCUGGAACACUUCAGAUGCAUAAAUGGGAGAAUGCAGUGACUAUUGACAGGUAUUCCUGGGGCUUCUGAUGAGACCUUUCAACUAGGGAUGUUCUGGAAAUGAAUGACCUUCUAUUCCAGUUGGUUUCUACAGUAAGAACUAACUGAUUGAUGGAAUGAGUGAUUCAGAGAACAAAUUACUAACACCAUUCUCAUUACCUGACCCACAAGCAGAUGCAAAACAUCUCUGAUGACAGUUGUGGAGGAAACAUGCUUAUGAACAUCUGUCCAACAUCAGAUGGCAACAUUGUACCAAUACUUCAGGAAUGUUUACUCCAGAUGAGAGAUUGGCUGUCUGUGAAUGGUGAAGCAAUUUACAGCACUAAACCUUGGAGGGUUUAGAAUGAUGCAAUCAACAAACAUAUCUGAUUGGCAAGGAAUUUAACAGCAGGGAGGAGUGAACAUAGGAGAAUAGCCAGGCCAGAUAUGAUAACAUGAAGUUACCUCUUUUUUAGAGGUCAUUUAGAAAAGAAGUUAGGUUGUAAUUUUGAUA